UACAGAGGUCCCAAGCGUUGUUCGGAUUCAUUGGGCGUAAAGGGUGUGUAGGUGGCGCCGUAAGUCGGGUGUGAAAUUUCGGAGCUUAACUCCGAAACUGCAUCGAUACUGCGGUGCUUGAGGACUGGAGAGGAGACUGGAAUUCAUGGUGUAGCAGUGAAAUGCGUAGAGAUCAUGAGGAAGACCAGUGACGAAGGCGGGUCUCUGGACAGUUCCUGACACUGAGACACGAAGGCCAGGGGAGCAAACGGG
This 252-nucleotide ribosomal RNA is filed under the name uncultured bacterium. Its description in RNAcentral is "partial 16S ribosomal RNA". It matches the Rfam family "Bacterial small subunit ribosomal RNA", at positions 524 to 776 of the family's 1533-position model. The record is from RNAcentral.